GCUGACAAGCUUUCUUGAGGAAUUGGAUGUCCUGCUGUCCUCCUUGCCAGAGGAUGGCAGGCCACUUGUGGUUCUUGGUGAUUUCAACAUACACCAGGACAAACCCCAGGCCAUUGAACUGAAUACUCUUCUGGCCUCAUUUGACUUGGAAAGACUACACACCACAGCAACUCACAGACCAGCACGGACUACACCACCCAGCCCCUGGCUGUCUGACAUCCUUCGUGAACAUCGGACUGUUCUCAGGGCAGCUGAGAGGAGAUGGCGGAAAUCUAAAGAUCCAGCUGAUCUAGCCCAACGACACCACAGUGACCGUUCGAAUCGCUGCCUGUCUGGCAGACAUCUCGGCCUGGAUGAAGGAACACCACCUUCAACUCAACCCUGCCAAGACAGAACUCCUUGUCUUUCCAGCCAACCCUGCUGUUGAACACAACAUCACCGUGCAGCUGGGUCCAACUACAGUUUCGCCUUCCACAACGGUCAGAAAUCUAGGGGUAACCAUUGAUGAUGAGCUAAAUUUCACAGACCACAUUUCAAAAACUGCAAGAUCUUGUAGAUUUACACUCUACAAUAUCAGGAAGAUAAGACCCUUCCUCUCUGUACAUGCCACACAACUGCUCGUUCAUUCCCUUGUCAUAACUAGACUGGACUACUGUAAUGCUCUCAUUGCAGGCCUUCCUGCAUGUGCUAUUAGACCUCUCCAAAUGAUCCAGAAUGCAGCAGCACGUCUGGUCUUUAAUGAACCUAAGAGAGCACAUGUUACACCACUCUUUGUCUCUCUCCACUGGCUGCCGGUUCAUGCACGUAUUAAAUUCAAGGCCCUGAUGCUGGCAUAUAAAACAGUCACUGGGUCUGCUCCAGCAUACCUAAAAACAUUUAUGCAGAGCUACGUUCCCACCAGAAGCCUGCGGUCGGCUAAGGAACGUCGCCUUGUCGUACCAAAACAAAGAGGCACCAAAACACUUUC
Xyrauchen texanus (razorback sucker) is the source of this 967-nucleotide long non-coding RNA. RefSeq lists it as uncharacterized. The transcript has 3 exons. The record is from RefSeq and is a predicted model, not a curated record. Lineage: Eukaryota; Metazoa; Chordata; Actinopteri; Cypriniformes; Catostomidae.